GCAAGUCGAACGAGAAACUUUUGGAGCUUGCUUUGGAAGUUUCUAGUGGCGAACGGGUGCGUAACACGUGAGUAACCUGCCCAAGAGAGGGGGAUAGCUCGAGGAAACUCGAAUUAAUACCGCAUAUGGUCUAUCAGGUCAUCCUGAGACGACUAAAGGUGGGGAUCUUAGGACCUGCCGCUCUUGGAUGGACUCGCGGCCUAUCAGCUUGUUGGUGAGGUAAAGGCUCACCAAGGCUACGACGGGUAACUGGUCUGAGAGGACGAUC
Molecule: ribosomal RNA, 268 nt
Filed under: uncultured bacterium
Lineage: Bacteria
Description: partial 16S ribosomal RNA
Rfam family: Bacterial small subunit ribosomal RNA
Source: RNAcentral